This 117-nucleotide ribosomal RNA is filed under the name Lepisosteus oculatus (spotted gar). Lineage: Eukaryota; Metazoa; Chordata; Actinopteri; Semionotiformes; Lepisosteidae. The record is from RNAcentral.
GCCAGCAGCUAUAUCACCUUUCAGCUCUCAACUGGUUACCCGCUAAAGCUAAACAGGGUUGAACCUGGUCAGUAUCUGGAUGGGAGACCUCCUGGGAAGCUAUGGUUGCUGCUGGAA